Molecule: ribosomal RNA, 518 nt
Filed under: uncultured bacterium
Lineage: Bacteria
Description: bacterial SSU rRNA
Rfam family: Bacterial small subunit ribosomal RNA
Source: RNAcentral
CGAGGACGAACGCUGGCGGCGUGCCUAACACAUGCAAGUCGAACGGAGGUUUGCUUCGGUAGAACCUUAGUGGCGAACGGGUGAGUAACGCGUAGGCAACCUGCCCCCCGGAUUGGGACAACACCCCGAAAGGGGUGCUAAUACCGGAUACGAAGAUAAUACCGCAUGGUGUUAUUUUGAAAGAUGGCCUCUACAGGUAAGCUAUCGCCGGGGGAUGGGCCUGCGUCCGAUUAGCUGGUUGGUGGGGUAACGGCCUACCAAGGCGACGAUCGGUAGCCGGUCUGAGAGGAUGAACGGCCACAUUGGGACUGAGACACGGCCCAGACUCCUACGGGAGGCAGCAGUGGGGAAUCUUCCGCAAUGGGCGCAAGCCUGACGGAGCAACGCCGCGUGAGUGAGGAAGUUUUUUCCGGAACGUAAAGCUCUGUUGUACAUGACGAACGUGCGAUCUGUCAACAACGGAUGGCAGUGACGGUAGUGUACGAGGAAGCCACGGCUAACUACGUGCCAGCCGCGGC